GUUCCAUCUAUGAAACCAAGCCAGAGCCAUGGGCUCAACCAGACCCAGACUCGGACAAAGAUCCUGUUGACCUCACUCUCGGCCAUGGUGGCGGAGACCGCGACCUUCCCAAUAGACCUGGCAAAGACUCGACUUCAGCUCCACGGUGAGUCUCUUUCCUCCACUCACCCCACCAACGCUUUCCGAGUCGCCGCGGAGAUCCUUCGCCAACGAGGCCUUCUCGGUCUCUACCAAGGCCUUUCUCCUGCUAUCCUCCGACACCUCUUCUACACCCCUAUUCGAAUUGUGGGUUAUGAAAAUUUGAGAAAUUUUGUUGUCAAUGACGGUGGAAAUGGUUCCAUUUCUCUCCCUAGUAAAGCUUUCCUUGGUGGAGUCUCCGCGGCGACUCG
This 389-nucleotide unclassified non-coding RNA is filed under the name Hevea brasiliensis (rubber tree). Lineage: Eukaryota; Viridiplantae; Streptophyta; Magnoliopsida; Malpighiales; Euphorbiaceae. The record is from RNAcentral.